This 96-nucleotide small RNA is filed under the name Salmonella enterica. RNAcentral describes it as "partial RtT sRNA". It matches the Rfam family "RtT RNA", at positions 41 to 130 of the family's 130-position model. Rfam says of the family: This family represents a bacterial cis-regulatory element known as RtT RNA. The exact function of RtT is unknown although it is thought that it may be involved in changing the cellular response in relation to amino acid starvation. The record is from RNAcentral. RNAcentral also lists the same sequence under 16 other names. Lineage: Bacteria; Pseudomonadati; Pseudomonadota; Gammaproteobacteria; Enterobacterales; Enterobacteriaceae.
GUUCGGUGGAAACGAGAAUAAAACGUGAAGGAUAACGUUGCGUCAGCAACGGCCCGUAGGGCGAGGCGAAGCCGAGUCAUCCUGCACGACCCACCG